AACGAACGCUGGCGGCAUGCCUAACACAUGCAAGUCGAACGGGAUCCUAGCUUGCUAGGUGAGAGUGGCGGACGGGUGAGUAACACGUGGGAAUCUGCCUUUUGGUUCGGGAUAACCGCGGGAAACUGCGGCUAAUACCGAAUGCCCUCGUGAGAGGAAAGAUUUAUCGCCAGAAGAGGAGCCCCGCGUCCGAUUAGGUAGUUGGUGGGGUAAAGGCCUACCAAGCCGACGAUCGGUAGCUGGUCUGAGAGGAUGAUCAGCCACACUGGGACUGAGAUACGGCCCAGACUCCUACGGGAGGCAGCAGUGGGGAAUAUUGGACAAUGGGGGCAACCCUGAUCCAGCAAUGCCGCGUGAGUGAUGAAGGCCUUAGGGUGUAAAGCUACUUUUGCCAGGGAAGAUGAUGACUGUACCUGGAGAAU
This 422-nucleotide ribosomal RNA is filed under the name uncultured bacterium. RNAcentral's name for it is "bacterial SSU rRNA". It matches the Rfam family "Bacterial small subunit ribosomal RNA", at positions 29 to 487 of the family's 1533-position model. The record is from RNAcentral.